AAUGAGGCCAGAAGAAUAAACGGAAACCACUGAAAUAAUAACCAAAAAAAAUCUUACAAUAGUUUAUUUUAAUCAAAAUUGCACUGAUAAACUCUAUCUACCAAACUCCUAGGUAACCACCAUUACUAUAUAAUGUAACUUCACUAUAUUUGGUAUCACUUAUAUUGAUACUUUGGACACCUGAUGGGAGGAGUCAGCGCAUUGGAAAAGAUACUGAUGUUGGGAAAGACUGAGGGCAAGAGGAAAAGCAGGCAGCAGAGGAUGAGAUGGUUAGAUUGCAUCACCAAUUCAAUGGACAUGAGUUUGAGCUCACUCCAGGAGAUGUGGUAAAAAAAAAGAGUAUAAUUAAUAGAAAUUAACCCUUUGAAAAAUAAUUAUUUUCCCAUAUAUUUAAAUUAUUGAAGGGAAAAAGCAUCUGUGGCUAAUGUGGCUUUUGUUAGUUUAUAAAUCAGACCAUGACUUAAUACCUGUUUCUACAAUCAUUUUAAGUGUUUUUUAGUCAAUAGUUUAAACUCAGAAUAUACUAAAGAUUGUUUGAGGUAGGUAAUCUUGGAACAGAAAUAAAUUAUUUCCAGAUGAUUAAAUAGACAAAAAGUGGCAACAGAAUUUGCCAUUUGCUUCUUGUAUUUCAGGUUGUUGAUUUAUUUGUAUUUCUGCAAAAAUAAAAGUGAAGUGCAGUUAAUAAUAGAUCUGUUUAAUGACAUUAUAAGUGAU
This 714-nucleotide long non-coding RNA is filed under the name Bos taurus (domestic cattle). RNAcentral's name for it is "long non-coding RNA NONBTAT006056". Lineage: Eukaryota; Metazoa; Chordata; Mammalia; Artiodactyla; Bovidae. The record is from RNAcentral.